GACGAACGCUGGCGGCGUGCCUAAUACAUGCAAGUCGAACGAACCGCGACUAGGUGCUUGCACUUGGUCAAGGUGAGUGGCGAACGGGUGAGUAACACGUGGGUAACCUACCUCAUAGUGGGGGAUAACAGUCGGAAACGACUGCUAAUACCGCAUAGGACAUAGGAUCACAUGAUUCUGUGAGGAAAGGUGGCGCAAGCUAUCGCUAAGAGAUGGACCGGCGGUGCAUUAGCUAGUUGGUAGGGUAAAGGCCUACCAAGGCGAUGAUGCAUAGCCGACCUGAGAGGGUGAUCGGCCACAUUGGGACUGAGACACGGCCCAAACUCCUACGGGAGGCAGCAGUAGGGAAUCUUCCGCAAAGGACGCAAGUCUGACGGAGCAACGCCGCGUGAGUGAAGAAGGUCUUCGGAUCGUAAAGCUCUGUUGUUAGAGAAGAACAGCGCAUAGAGUAACUGUUAUGCGUGUGACGGUAUCUAACCAGAAAGCCACGGCUAACUACGUG
Molecule: ribosomal RNA, 502 nt
Filed under: uncultured bacterium
Lineage: Bacteria
Description: partial 16S ribosomal RNA
Rfam family: Bacterial small subunit ribosomal RNA
Source: RNAcentral